RNAcentral lists this ribosomal RNA (468 nucleotides) under uncultured bacterium. RNAcentral's name for it is "partial 16S ribosomal RNA". It matches the Rfam family "Bacterial small subunit ribosomal RNA", at positions 28 to 507 of the family's 1533-position model. The record is from RNAcentral.
GACGAACGCUGGCGGCGUGCUUAACACAUGCAAGUCGAACGGAAAGGCCCAGCCUUUGUUGGGUGCUCGAGUGGCGAACGGGUGAGUAACACGUGAGUAACCUGCCCUGGACUUUGGGAUAACUUCAGGAAACUGGGGCUAAUACCGGAUAGGAGGUCCGGCUGCAUGGCGGGGGGUGGAGAGUUUCGGCGGUGGGGGGAGCACGCGCCGCUUAUGAGCGUGUGGGGGGGGAUGUGGUUUAACAGGGCCUUCAGGGGUAGCCGGCCUGAGAGGGUGCCCGGCCACUUUGGGUCUGAGAUGCCGCCCAGACUCCUACGGGGGAGAGCAGUGGGGUAUAUUGCACUAUGGGCGGGCGCCUGGUGCAGCAGCGCCGCGUGCGGGAUGGCGGCCUUCGUGUUGUACACCGCUUUCGCCUGUGGCGGCGCGUUAGUGACGGUAAUGGGUAAAGAAGCACCGGCUAACUACGUG